Molecule: ribosomal RNA, 416 nt
Filed under: uncultured bacterium
Lineage: Bacteria
Description: bacterial SSU rRNA
Rfam family: Bacterial small subunit ribosomal RNA
Source: RNAcentral
ACGGGUGCGUAACACGUGGGCAAUCUGCCCUCUGAUGGGGAAUAACCCCGCGAAAGCGGGGCUAAUUCCGCAUAACAUUCCCAUGACUUAGGUUGAGGGAUUCAAAGCAGUGAUGCGUCAGAGGAGGAGCCCGCGCCCGAUUAGCUAGUUGGUGAGGUAACGGCUCACCAAGGCAAUGAUCGGUAGCUGGUCUGAGAGGAUGAUCAGCCACACUGGAACUGAGACACGGUCCAGACUCCUACGGGAGGCAGCAGUGGGGAAUCUUGCACAAUGGGCGAAAGCCUGAUGCAGCGACGCCGCGUGGGGGAUGAAGCAUUUCGGUGUGUAAACCCCUUUCGACUGGGAAGAAAGCCUCGCAAGAGGACUGACGGUACCAGUAUAAGAAGCCCCGGCUAACUACGUGCCAGCAGCCGCGG